Molecule: small nuclear RNA, 108 nt
Filed under: Bison bison bison
Lineage: Eukaryota; Metazoa; Chordata; Mammalia; Artiodactyla; Bovidae
Source: RNAcentral
GUGCUCGCUUCGGCAGCACAUAUACUAAAAAUUGGAAUGAUACAGAGAAGAUUAGCAUGGCCCCUGUGCAAGGAUGACACGCAAAAUCAUGAAGCGUUCCGUAUUUUU